Molecule: ribosomal RNA, 615 nt
Filed under: Triticum aestivum (bread wheat)
Lineage: Eukaryota; Viridiplantae; Streptophyta; Magnoliopsida; Poales; Poaceae
Description: partial small subunit ribosomal RNA
Source: RNAcentral
AUGAAUCAAUAUUUUAGAGUCCACAACAGACGGCGUCUUUCAUUUGACAACUACAUUGCAGAGUUGGGCAGUCUGCACGUUGGGAGAGAACAUGAAAUCACAAGGUCAAUCCCGGCCCAACAGCCGAAGAGGUGGCUACCGCCUCCCAGUGGCAUAGCGAAGAUCAACGUGGACGGAGCGGUUGGGCGAACCAGGCAAGGAAGGGCAGUAGCGGCGUUCUGCCGUGAUCAGGGAGGCAACUACCUAGGCUCAUCAGCUGUGGUUUACUACGGAGUAACUAAUCCGUUGUUGCUGGAGACAUUUGCUUGCCGUGAAGCACUAGCAUUGGCUAACGAUCUUGCGGAGCAGAAGAUAUAUGUGGCCUCGGACUGCCAAGAGGCGGUGAAUGACAUAAACAGAGGGACGGGAGGCCCUAAUGCGGCGCUAGUACAUGAAAUAACACACCAUAGCAAUAGUUUUGUUUCUUGCUCUUUUGUUUUUGAGCGUAGGAAUUUCAAUUUCGAGGCUUACAAUUUUGCCAAGUUUGCUUGUAAUCUAGACAUAGGUAGACAUGUUUGGUUGAGUUACCCCCAUGACCUGAACCUUGUACCUAUGACAAUUCUUUUGAAUGAAUAA